CCCAAUGUGAAGAACUGAAACCCUAACUACCCGCAGCACAUCCUCUAUAAGAACAGCCAUAGUCUCUGAAUUCAUCAUCACAGCAGUAAGUGUAAGCGGCCGCCUCCGUCGUCUUCGUUGUUCGGGGAAGCUUGAAUCCAUUGACAACGUUUUGUGUAGCUUUCGACAUAUUUGGGCAAUGACGAUUGCUUUGUGAUAGGUCUCGUUCGUCGUAAUGGCAUUGUUUUAUGCCUUGACGACCAUCCUGAUAUAUCACCACCCAUAAACUGAGUCCUCUCUCGCUGUGUUCAGCGUUACUCAUCACUUUCAGUAUAUUGCUUCGAUCAAGAAUUAGCAAAACAGCAAAACUAUGGUUAUUCCUUCUGACGAAUCCUCGGAAGCUUCCAGACAAUUGGAAUUGAGGGCUUUUUUUCUUUUGGCGAAGCGGUUGGUUGUAGAUGUAUCCGACUUUUAGUUGAAAAUAUGUUGUGGACAACCAAAUAUUCUUAUCCACUAGCAUAUUGACAAUGGGGUUUGUUUUUCAUGUUCAGAUCUUACUUGGCAGUAUAUUUUGGGUAAUGUAUUUUUAUAUUAAUAAUCAAUUUAUUUAUAAGAAACAUUUUUACAGUAA
Andrographis paniculata is the source of this 610-nucleotide long non-coding RNA. RefSeq lists it as uncharacterized. Lineage: Eukaryota; Viridiplantae; Streptophyta; Magnoliopsida; Lamiales; Acanthaceae. The transcript is spliced from 2 exons. The record is from RefSeq and is a predicted model, not a curated record.